GACGAACGCUGGCGGCGUGCUUAACACAUGCCAGUCGAACGGAAAGGCCCUGCUUUUGUGGGGUGCUCGAGUGGCGAACGGGUGAGUAACACGUGAGUAACCUGCCCUUGACUUUGGGAUAACUUCAGGAAACUGGGGCUAAUACCGGAUAGGAGCUCCUGCUGCAUGGUGGGGGUUGGAAAGUUUCGGCGGUUGGGGAUGGACUCGCGGCUUAUCAGCUUGUUGGUGGGGUAGUGGCUUACCAAGGCUUUGACGGGUAGCCGGCAUCAGAGGGGGGCCGGCAACGAUGGGACGGAGGGAGGGACCGGGGGAGGACUGGGGGGAGCGGGCGGGAGGCGUGCGGAGGGGCGUGGAGUCGGAGGAAGAAACGGCGUGUGCGGAAAGAGGGGGGACGGGUGGAAAACAGGGGGCGCAGGCGAGGGAGGGUGAGGGACGGGAGGGAGGAAAGAAGCAACGGCUAAGGACGUG
This 468-nucleotide ribosomal RNA is filed under the name uncultured bacterium. Its description in RNAcentral is "partial 16S ribosomal RNA". The stretch from base 20 to 329 matches the Rfam family "Bacterial small subunit ribosomal RNA", at positions 47 to 358 of the family's 1533-position model. The record is from RNAcentral.